Molecule: ribosomal RNA, 1892 nt
Filed under: Penaeus setiferus (white shrimp)
Lineage: Eukaryota; Metazoa; Arthropoda; Malacostraca; Decapoda; Penaeidae
Description: eukaryotic LSU rRNA
Rfam family: Eukaryotic large subunit ribosomal RNA
Source: RNAcentral
ACCGAUAGCGAACAAGUACCGUGAGGGAAAGUUGAAACAGAACCCUGUAGAGAGAGUUCAAGAGAACGUGAAACCGUUAAGAGGCUAAACGGGCGGAGAUUCGAAGAUCGAACUGGGGGGAUUCAGUUCGUCGGCCUGCCGGGAGACGGUAGUGGGCGUGUUGCGACUUCCCGUUCCGGAGGCCUCGUGCCGAAGGAGCCUUUGAGUGGGGAGCGCCGCCCGCCGCCUGCCCGGCGCCGGCGGGCGAUCUUCCCCCCGCAGUAGGUCGCCGCGACGCGUUGGGAUGGGCGUCUGAGGCCCGGGUCCUGGUAGGAACCGGCGGCGCGUUCGGCCAACCCCUCGCGGGGGUGGUCGUUUUCCAGCGCGCCCGUCCGGGGAUCCCCCGGUGCCCUCGUCUUGCUCCCCCGACGGUCUCUCCUCCGGGGCCGUCCGAGAACGGGGGUUGGGUCCGAGGCCGCGGUCGAGCCUAGCCUUUUCUCCUUUCGGGGGGUGGGGUCUGGCUUCCCGCGCUUCCCCUUUCCCCACUCGGUCCAUGUGCUGGCCCUCGCGGCGUGCAAAGAGUCGGUACUCCUCCCGACCCGUCUUGAAACACGGACCAAGGAGUCCAACAUGUAUGCGAGUCAAUGGGCGCACUAAACCCACGGGCGCAAUGAAAGUGAUCGGGCCGAUCCCACGGAGCAGCGGGCGGCCGCGCGCACCCGGACGGAGUGACCGACUUUCCUCCCCGGGACGGCGCGGGUUCCCUCCCGCUCCCGCACGCCCGCCCGCCUUCACCGGCGGGCGCGGGGGGCGCAGGUCCGGGACUCGCCAUGACGAACGGUCGCCUCUCCGCUUCGCGGCGGCAGGGCCGCGGCCGGAUGUGUCGGCGGGUACCCAGAGCAUAGAUGUUGGGACCCGAAAGAUAGUGAACUAUGCUUGGCCAGGAUGAAGCCAGGGGAAACCCUGGUGGAGGUCCGAAGCGUUUCUGACGUGCAAAUCGAUCGCCAGAGCUGAGUAUAGGGGCGAAAGACCAAUCGAACUAUCUAGUAGCUGGUUCCCUCCGAAGUUUCCCUCAGGAUAGCUGGCACUCGCAUCGAACGAGUUCCAUCCGGUAAAGCGAAUGACUAGGGGUGUUGGGGACGAAAUGUCCUCAGCCCAUUCUCAAACUUUAAAUGGGUGAGGUGCCGGGCUUGCUUCGCUGAAGCCCCGGACGAGAAUCGGAGUGCCUAGUGGGCCAAUUUUGGUAAGCAGAACUGGCGCUGUGGGAUGAACCAAACGUCGAGUUAAGGGGCCUAAAUGGAUGCUAAUUCCGAUCCCAUGGAAGGGAGUUGCUUGCUAUAGACAGCAGGACGGUGGCCAUGGAAGUUGGAAUCCGCUAAGGAGUGUGUAACAACUCACCUGCCGAAGCAAGUAACCCCGAAAAUGGCAUGGCGCUCAAGCAUCCUCCCGAUACUCGACCGCCGGGCGCACUAUGGGCUGCGUCGAGGAGGUCUCGAGGCCCCGGCGAGUAGGAGGGCGCGGUGGUGAGCGUAGAAGGAUACGGCGCGAGCCGGUCUGGAGCCGCCACUGGUGCGGAUCUUGGUGGUAGUAGCAAAUGCUCGAGCAAGCCGAACCCUCGUUGACCGAAGCGGAGGAGGGUUCCCCGCCAACAUCGCUUGGUCGUGGAUAAGUCGGCCCUUAGCCCGAGGAUAGCUUCCCUCCGAUCCCCUGGAAAACGCCACAAAACAGUAGAGCACAGCCGAAAGACUCCCUGUUUUGGAAGGAGAGCGCGAGGAAUUGGGAGGGGACCCCAGGCGGCGGCACGAGCCCGCCCUUCAUCAAAGCGGGCUUGUCGGCGCCGGUCGGUCGUUCGCUCGCCGUCGUUUGAAGCGGCGGCAGCAGCAGCCUCCGGCGUCUUGGCUUGGCUUGGCUUG